AGUCGAACGAAGGCUUCGGCCUUAGUGGCGCACGGGUGCGUAACGCGUGGGAAUCUGCCCCUUGGUUCGGAAUAACAGUUGGAAACGACUGCUAAUACCGGAUGACGACGUAAGUCCAAAGAUUUAUCGCCGAGGGAUGAGCCCGCGUAGGAUUAGCUAGUUGGUGUGGUAAAGGCGCACCAAGGCGACGAUCCUUAGCUGGUCUGAGAGGAUGAUCAGCCACACUGGGACUGAGACACGGCCCAGACUCCUACGGGAGGCAGCAGUGGGGAAUAUUGGACAAUGGGCGAAAGCCUGAUCCAGCAAUGCCGCGUGAGUGAUGAAGGCCUUAGGGUUGUAAAGCUCUUUUACCCGGGAUGAUAAUGACAGUACCGGGAGAAU
This 381-nucleotide ribosomal RNA is filed under the name alpha proteobacterium BAL135. Its description in RNAcentral is "bacterial SSU rRNA". It matches the Rfam family "Bacterial small subunit ribosomal RNA", at positions 60 to 487 of the family's 1533-position model. The record is from RNAcentral. Lineage: Bacteria; Pseudomonadati; Pseudomonadota; Alphaproteobacteria.